RNAcentral lists this ribosomal RNA (261 nucleotides) under uncultured archaeon. RNAcentral's name for it is "partial 16S ribosomal RNA". It matches the Rfam family "Archaeal small subunit ribosomal RNA", at positions 748 to 1008 of the family's 1478-position model. The record is from RNAcentral.
AGGGUGUAAACGCUGCAGACUUGGUGUUGGAGGCCCUUUGGGGGGCAUUCAGUGCCGGAGAGAAGUUGUUAAGUCUGCUACUUGGGGAGUACGUCCGCAAGGAUGAAACUUAAAGGAAUUGGCGGGGGAGCACCGCAACGGGAGGAGCGUGCGGUUUAAUUGGAUUCAACACCGUAAACUCACCAGGGAAGACUGUUACAUGAAGGCCGAGAUGAAGACUCUGCUAGAUUUUCAGAGAGGUGGUGCAUGGCGUCAGUGACU